CCCACUUUAAUUUGAUGGAUAUCGUACGCAAUAAAUAUAUUUAAAUAUGGACUUUAAAGAAAUAUAAUAAUCCAGUUUAAAAUUUUAAAGAAUGUAAGAAAUUAUAAUUUAGAUAGUUUGGUAAUUUAGGUUUAUUAGGUGCCAGCAACCGCGGUCAAACCUAAUAAGUAAGCUAUACAGGCCCAUUAAAUAAAUGAAAUAUUUCUUUUAAGGAGACAAUAAGUAGUGAAAUAUUAUUAUCCUAUUAUAUCUUAUGUAAGAAAAGUUAUAUACAGCUAAACUCAGUAUUUAAAACUAGGAUUAGAGACCCUACUAUUAUGAACAAAAAUAUUUAUUUUUUAAGGAGUAAAAUUAUUAAAUUUAAACUUUAAAAUUAUGGCGGCUAAACAAAGCACUUAGGGGAACUUACCAUAUAAUUGAUAACCACCAAGCAUAAUCAUACUUAUUAUAAAAAUUUGUAUACCGUUGUCUUCAUAAAUCCUUCGAGGGGGUUUAUAAGUAUUAUUCAAAUACUCAGACAAAUCAAGGUGCAGUCAAUUAAUAAGAAAUAAGGUGAGUUACAAUAAAUAAUUUUUUCGGACUUUAGAAUGAAAUAUAUAUAUAAAGAUGGACUUAAAAGUAAUAUUUAAG
RNAcentral lists this ribosomal RNA (630 nucleotides) under Albinaria supercarinata. RNAcentral's name for it is "partial 12S ribosomal RNA". The record is from RNAcentral. Lineage: Eukaryota; Metazoa; Mollusca; Gastropoda; Stylommatophora; Clausiliidae.